UCCCCAGUGGCUCAGUUGGUAAAGAAUCUGUCUGCAAUGCAGGAGAUCCAGGUUCGAUCCCUGGGUAGGGAA
Molecule: transfer RNA, 72 nt
Filed under: Bos taurus (domestic cattle)
Lineage: Eukaryota; Metazoa; Chordata; Mammalia; Artiodactyla; Bovidae
Also listed under: 6 other names
Rfam family: tRNA
About the family: Transfer RNA (tRNA) molecules are approximately 80 nucleotides in length. Their secondary structure includes four short double-helical elements and three loops (D, anti-codon, and T loops).
Source: Rfam by way of RNAcentral